Molecule: ribosomal RNA, 253 nt
Filed under: uncultured bacterium
Lineage: Bacteria
Description: partial 16S ribosomal RNA
Rfam family: Bacterial small subunit ribosomal RNA
Source: RNAcentral
UACGGGGGGGGCAAGCGUUGUUCGGAAUUACUGGGCGUAAAGGGCGCGUAGGCGGCCUUCUAAGUCAGACGUGAAAUCCCUCGGCUUAACCGGGGAACUGCGUCUGAUACUGGAUGGCUUGAGUUCGGGAGAGGGAUGCGGAAUUCCAGGUGUAGCGGUGAAAUGCGUAGAUAUCUGGAGGAACACCGGUGGCGAAGGCGGCAUCCUGGACCGACACUGACGCUGAGGAGCGAAAGCCAGGGGAGCAAACGGG